GGAAAGCCAGCGCACUUACCUGCUGGAAGUCCGGAGUCGAGUGGCUGGAUGAAGGAGAGAGGCAACGUCGGCUAACCACUCACCUUUCAUCCGGAGAGCUGCUGCAAUUCCAACGCCAGUGUGUGUUGGGCUUUUGUGAAACAGAGCAACGGUGAGCAACAUGUUCUUAGCUGCUCUAAAGCUAAUUUUUGUCAGUUCACUGUGAGUUUAAAGUAAUCUAGAGGGUAAUUUUUAGUGCAUUUCUCUCUCACGAAUAGGCCUAUAGCGUGGAGAAAUUAAGCACACUGCUUUAAUGCCUCUGAACUGAACUCAUAUGUAUAUUUUGUUGCUUAUUUGCACAUAGUUCUGAAUUUGUUAUGGUGUAUUGUAUUUUGAGUGUCAAUGGUUACUUACCAUAAGUAUUGUUUAAUUAAUGUUUACAUGAAUAGAGAAAUAUUUGAGCAACUUAGAUGUUUAGUUCUCAUAUUUGAUAUGCUUGAAAAUUGAAUGUUGUACAACAGAACUGUGAGAUUUGAUAAGAUUUAAGAUGUUGAUGCAAUGAAUAUGAGGUGAUGCAAUAUUUUGAUUUUGUAUUUUAACCUUAAACAAUGCAUCUGAAACAGACUGAUUAGAAUGUACAUUUUAUGACCUGGAUUAUAGGUCAGGUUUUUUGGAGAGGACGGAAAAGUCCAAGGACCAGGACGAUAUUCUGGUUGUGAUAGAUGGCGAGCCAACCACUUUGAGGACGAUCUACCCCAAAGAAGAUACACACCACACACUCAUACAUUCCAGUUACAUUCACAAGGACCUUUGAAGUUGGCUAUCGCCAGCUUAACUCUAAAUUCUUAAAGGGCCCCAACGAGUACUUUUAUUUUGUUGAGUGUGCACACUAUUUAUUUUAUUUUAUACUUUAUCUGUACAAAUUGGACAAAUACCUGUUAUACUUUGUAACAAUACAAGAGUGGCUACUCAAAAGUUAA
Non-coding RNA from Maylandia zebra (zebra mbuna), 959 nucleotides. Lineage: Eukaryota; Metazoa; Chordata; Actinopteri; Cichliformes; Cichlidae. The record is from RefSeq and is a predicted model, not a curated record.